Vicia faba (fava bean) is the source of this 321-nucleotide non-coding RNA. The record is from the annotation of a GenBank genome assembly. NCBI's taxonomy places the organism in Eukaryota, Viridiplantae, Streptophyta, Magnoliopsida, Fabales, Fabaceae.
AUGUCCGCUACUGCUGCUAUCAAUGGAAUCAAGGCGGACUAUGUUGCUGCACUCCUUGGAAAAUAUGGGAAUAAUAUCCCUUACAACAUCAUUUCUUCCAUCAACUAUGCUAGCUGUUGUUAUGGCGUUAAAGGGUUAGUUAAUGCGGCAAAAACCAUUGUUGACCUCCGUGCAAAUUGUGAUUGCUUGAUGUCCGCUACUGCUGCUAUCAAUGGAAUCAAGGCGGACUAUGUUGCUGCACUCCUUGGAAAAUAUGGGAAUAAUAUCCCUUACAACAUCAUUUCUUCCAUCAACUAUGCUAGGUAUACAUGCAUUAUCUAA